RNAcentral lists this ribosomal RNA (1358 nucleotides) under 'Parthenium hysterophorus' phytoplasma. RNAcentral describes it as "bacterial SSU rRNA". It matches the Rfam family "Bacterial small subunit ribosomal RNA", at positions 122 to 1472 of the family's 1533-position model. The record is from RNAcentral. Lineage: Bacteria; Bacillati; Mycoplasmatota; Mollicutes; Acholeplasmatales; Acholeplasmataceae.
CAACCUACCCUAAAGACGAGGAUAACCGUUGGAAACAGUGGCUAAGACUGGAUAGGAAGAUAAAAGGCAUCUUUUAUCUUUUAAAAGACCUAGUAAUAGGUAUGCUUUAGGAGGGGCUUGCGCCAUAUUAGUUAGUUGGUAGGGUAAUGGCCUACCAAGACGAUGAUGUGUAGCUGGACUGAGAGGUUGAACAGCCACAUUGGGACUGAGACACGGCCCAAACUCCUACGGGAGGCAGCAGUAGGGAAUUUUCGGCAAUGGAGGAAACUCUGACCGAGCAACGCCGCGUGAAUGACGAAGUACUUCGGUAUGUAAAGUUCUUUUAUCAAGGAAGAAAAGCAAAUGGCGAACCAUUUGUUUGCCGGUACUUGAUGAAUAAGCCCCGGCUAAUUAUGUGCCAGCAGCCGCGGUAAGACAUAAGGGGCAAGUGUUAUCCGGAAUUAUUGGGCGUAAAGGGUGCGUAGGCGGUCUAGUAAGUCAGUGGUGUAAUGGCAACGCUUAACGUUGUCCGGCUAUUGAAACUGCUAAACUUGAGUUAGAUAGAGGCGAGUGGAAUUCCAUGUGUAGCGGUAAAAUGCGUAAAUAUAUGGAGGAACACCAGAGGCGUAGGCGGCUCGCUGGGUCUUAACUGACGCUGUAGGCACGAAAGCGUGGGGAGCAAACAGGAUUAGAUACCCUGGUAGUCCACGCCGUAAACGAUGAGUACUAAGUGUCGGGUUAAACCGGUACUGAAGUUAACACAUUAAGUACUCCGCCUGAGUAGUACGUACGCAAGUAUGAAACUUAAAGGAAUUGACGGGACUCCGCACAAGCGGUGGAUCAUGUUGUUUAAUUCGAAGAUACCCGAAAAACCUUACCAGGUCUUGACAUGUUUUUGCAAAAUGAUAGUAAUAUCGUGGAGGUUACCAGAAACACAGGUGGUGCAUGGUUGUCGUCAGCUCGUGUCGUGAGAUGUUAGGUUAAGUCCUAAAACGAGCGAAACCCUUAUCGUUAGUUGCCAGCACGUUAUGGUGGGGACUUUAACGAGACUGCCAAUGAUAAAUUGGAGGAAGGUGAGGAUCACGUCAAAUCAGCAUGCCCCUUAUGACCUGGGCUACAAACGUGAUACAAUGGCUGUUACAAAGGGUAGCUGAAACGCAAGUUCUUGGCCAAUCCCCAAAAACAGUCCCAGUCCGGAUUGAAGUCUGCAACUCGACUUCAUGAAGUUGGAAUCGCUAGUAAUCGCGAAUCAGCAUGUCGCGGUGAAUACGUUCUCGGGGUUUGUACACACCGCCCGUCAAACCACGAAAGUUGGCAAUACCCCAAAACGGUAGCCUAACUCGUUUAUUCGAGAGGGCGCCGUCUAAGGUAGGGUCGAU